RNAcentral lists this ribosomal RNA (1891 nucleotides) under Sogatella furcifera (white-backed planthopper). Its description in RNAcentral is "SSU rRNA". It matches the Rfam family "Eukaryotic small subunit ribosomal RNA". The record is from RNAcentral. Lineage: Eukaryota; Metazoa; Arthropoda; Insecta; Hemiptera; Delphacidae.
CUGGUUGAUCCUGCCAGUAGUCAUAUGCUUGUCUCAAAGAUUAAGCCAUGCAUGUCUAAGUAUAAGCGAUUAUACGGCGAAACUGCGAAUGGCUCAUUACACAAGUUAUCGUUUAUUUGAUAGCACCUUACUACUUGGAUAACCGUGGUAAUUCUAGAGCUAAUACAUGCUGAAAAUCCCAACUCCGGAAGGGAUGUAUUUAUUAGAUUCAAAACCAAUGCCCUCCGGGCUCACUGGUGAUUCAUGAUAACUUCGCGGAUCGCACGGCCUUGUGCCGGCGAUGGUUCAUUCAAAUUUCUUCCCUAUCAACUUUCGAUGUUUGGGUAGUGGCCAAACAUGGUUGCAACGGGUAACGGAGGGUUAGGGCUCGACCCCGGAGAAGGAGCCUGAGAAACGGCUACUACAUCCAAGGAAGGCAGCAGGCGCGCAAAUUACCCAAUCCCGACACGGGGAGGUAGUGACGAAAAAUAACGAUACGGGACUCAUCCGAGGCCCCGUAAUCGGAAUGAGUAUACUCUAAAUCCUUGUACAAGUAUCAAUUGGAGGGCAAGUCCGGUGCCAGCAGCCGCGGUAAUUCCAGCUCCAAUAGCGUAUAUUAAAGUUGUUGCGGUUAAAAAGCUCGUAGUUGGAUCUGUGUCCUUCGACGCCGGUUCACCGCAUGUCGGUGCCAACUGGCGUUUUGCGGGACGUCUUGUCGGUGGUGUGCCAGGGAUCUUUGUUGUGCUGGGCUUUGCCCUAGUGCAGCUCUGGUUUCGGGCCACUUUCAUAAUCCCGCCGCGGUGCUCUUAAUCGGGUGUCGAGGCGGGCCGGCACGUUUACUUUGAACAAAUUAGAGUGCUUAAAGCAGGCUUGUCACGCCUGUAUACUGUGUGCAUGGAAUAAUGGAAUAGGACCUCGGUUCUAUUUUGUUGGUUUCCGGAAUCUGAGGUAAUGAUCAAUGGGGACAGGCGGGGGCAUUCGUAUUGCGACGUUAGAGGUGAAAUUCUUGGAUCGUCGCAAGACGGACCGAAGCGAAAGCAUUUGCCAAGUAUGUUCCCGUCGAUCAAGAACGAAAGUUAGAGGUUCGAAGGCGAUCAGAUACCGCCCUAGUUCUAACCAUAAACAAUGCCUGCCAGCGAUCCGCCGGCGUCUUUUCCGAUGACCCGGCGGGCAGCUUCCGGGAAACCAGAGCUUUUGGGUUCCGGGGGAAGUAUGGUUGCAAAGCUGAAACUUAAAGGAAUUGACGGAAGGGCACCACCAGGAGUGGAGCCUGCGGCUUAAUUUGACUCAACACGGGAAAACUCACCAGGCCCGGACACCGGAAGGAUUGACAGAUUGAUAGCUCUUUCUUGAUUCGGUGGGUGGUGGUGCAUGGCCGUUCUUAGUUGGUGGAGCGAUUUGUCUGGUUAAUUCCGAUAACGAACGAGACUCUAGCCUACUAACUAGACGUAUCUGGUAUCAGCAAUCGUGCUACCAGCGAUCAUAUCUCUUCUUAGAGGGACAGGCGGCUUCUAGCCGCACGAGACUGAGCAAUAACAGGUCUGUGAUGCCCUUAGAUGUCCUGGGCCGCACGCGCGCUACACUGAAGGAAUCAGCGUGUCUUCCCUGUCCGAAAGGACCGGGUAACCCGCUGAACCUCCUUCGUGCUUGGGAUUGGGGCUUGCAAUUAUUCCCCAUGAACGAGGAAUUCCCAGUAAGCGCGAGUCAUAAGCUCGCGUUGAUUACGUCCCUGCCCUUUGUACACACCGCCCGUCGCUACUACCGAUUGAAUGGCUCAGUGAGGCGCCCGGACUGGCCCAGGGGGGGGUGGGCAACCGCUACCCAGGGCCGGAAAGCUCUCCAAACUCGGUCAUUUAGAGGAAGUAAAAGUCGUAACAAGGUUUCCGUAGGUGAACCUGCGGAAGGAUCAUUA